AGGAUAACUUAAGUUUGUCAGGCGUGCUUGUUACAGUGCUUGUUGCAACAUGUCAACAACAGCGUUCCCUAAACCUCAGUUGUACAAUUUACGCUAACACCUUCAAUUAAACAUGUCUUUCAUGUGCCUAUACCCUGUUGGUAAGUUUUGUUUUCAAGAAAGCGCCACGUAAUUAACGUGGUUACACAAACAUAAGGAUCAUGUACACAUCUCGCACCAAAUGUUGCUAUUCUGCUUUGCACUGGAAGGAUAAAGUUGAUAAGGUUAUUGCUACUACAACUUGUUCUGUGCAGAUGGCCCAAAAGAAGGAGGAGGCGGGCAUGGGCUCUGGCUUUGAAGAGAGAGAGAGAGGUUUGUGCCAAAACAACGCUGAUCUGAUGCUGCCACUUACCUCCUGAGCAAACUGUUCGGCUGAGAGAGCCAUCAAUUUCAACUUCAACUUCCCCAAACACUUGUCCAAGGGUAGUUCCAGUCCUGUGUUCCAUUCUUCAUGGAGGGCAUGGGGUGACUGUCUGCGUUUGUGACCCUCCAGUCAGCAUUGAGUUGACGGGCUACAGACACUUGCAGUUGGAGAACAGGCUGUGAACUGCUGAUAUCCUGCGUCCUUCAGCACAGUGAGCGCCAGUGCCACAGAUCAACGCAAUGUUUGAGCUGCCACAGACACCUUCAUCUUCUGGCCAUCGAAGUCAACAUGCCUUCUGAUCACCUUGUUUUUGCUGCAUGAAGACCCUCAGGAUCCUGAACAUUAUUCAGAUCAACAAUAUGUUGCCAUUUAAAUGUUCCAAAGGGACUGAUGAUAGGACCGUAAGCCUUGAGCAUAUUUCUAGCUAAUUUCCUGAUCAGGUAGAUAUCUUCCCCUGAGGAAAGGUGGGUAAAUGAGGUCUUCAGAGGCUGUUCUUCUGGAUUUUACCAGAUAUGUUUCGACGGUAGGGUCACAGGGAGGUUGAUGUGUCAUGUGCUUUGAAAUGAGCUGAUGUUGUUAUGGAGGUGUGCCCUCCCUGUCAAUAUUGACAGGUUGGUCACACUUCCUACUGAGUUAUCCUUUUUGGAUGGUGGUCCAGGUGUGUGACGGCAUGUAUGCCCCCUCAUCCCUGUGAACAAAAACCAGGGAUGAGGGGGCAUACGUGCUCUAACACACCUGGCCCACCAUCCUAAGAUGACCACUCUAACAGCAGGAGGUUUGACCAAUAUCAACAGGGAGGGCACACCUCCACAACAACGUCAACUGAUUUUAAAGCACGUCACAUCAACAUCCCUGUGACCCUACCGUCGAAAUGUCUGAAGUAACCUGGUUAAUGGAUGGUGGUGGCGGGGUUCUAAUGUUGAUUGUGUAUAUAGUUGUCUUUUUUCAAUAAAUUGAAGUGUGGUCAGGA
This is a long non-coding RNA of Engraulis encrasicolus (European anchovy), 1373 nucleotides long. RefSeq lists it as uncharacterized. The record is from RefSeq and is a predicted model, not a curated record. Lineage: Eukaryota; Metazoa; Chordata; Actinopteri; Clupeiformes; Engraulidae. The transcript is spliced from 3 exons.